RNAcentral lists this unclassified non-coding RNA (207 nucleotides) under soil metagenome. RNAcentral's name for it is "partial contains 5.8S ribosomal RNA, internal transcribed spacer 2, and large subunit ribosomal RNA". The record is from RNAcentral.
AACCUAGCACACCUGCGGUGUGUACCUGCGGAGGGAUCAUUACUGAGUGAGGGCCUUCGGGCUCGACCUCCAACCCUUUGUGAACACAACUUGUUGCUUCGGGGGCGACCCUGCCGUUUCGACGGCGAGCGCCCCCGGAGGCCUUCAAACACUGCAUCUUUGCGUCGGAGUUUAAGUAAAUUAAACAAAACUUUCAGCAACGGAUCU